GGACUACAAGGGUAUCUAAUCCUGUUUGCUCCCCUAGCUUUCGCAGUUGAGUGUCAGUAAUGGUCCAGGUACUUGCUUUCGCCAUUGGUGUUCCUCCCGAUCUCUGCACAUUUCACCGUUCCACCGGGAAUUCCAGUACCCUCUCCCAUACUCAAGCCUGGCAGUAUCUGUUGACCUCUCCCGGUUAAGCCGAGAGCUUUCACAACAGACUUACCAAACCACCUACCUGCCCUUUACGCCUAGUAAUUCCGAGUAACGCUUGCCACCUUCGUAUUACCGCGGCUGCUGGCAC
Molecule: ribosomal RNA, 292 nt
Filed under: uncultured bacterium
Lineage: Bacteria
Description: partial 16S ribosomal RNA
Source: RNAcentral